This 75-nucleotide transfer RNA is filed under the name Nageia nagi. Its description in RNAcentral is "tRNA-Val". It matches the Rfam family "tRNA". From Rfam's summary of the family: Transfer RNA (tRNA) molecules are approximately 80 nucleotides in length. Their secondary structure includes four short double-helical elements and three loops (D, anti-codon, and T loops). The record is from RNAcentral. Lineage: Eukaryota; Viridiplantae; Streptophyta; Pinopsida; Araucariales; Podocarpaceae.
GGGCUAUAGCUCAGCAAGGUAGAGCACCUCGUUUACACACCGAGAAGGUCUACGGUUCGAACCCGUAUAGCCCUA